AAAAGUAAAAGCAGAUAUAACAGAAAUGGUCAAAAAUUACCCUCAAUUGGGCAUAAUGGAAAACAAAUAGAUUUUGUAUACCUGAAACUGGCAAACUUUUCAUUUAUGUUGCUGUCACUUAAGUUACAAAAUGUAUUGUUUAUAGAAGGAUUUCCUACAACCUGUUUCAUAAUCACAGUAUAUGAAAAACAUCCUAAUAACCGAUACAGAUAAAACUGCUUCUGAUAAGAUAAAUGGCAUAUGCAGAAUACUUAACAACAACCAUAACAUAAUCUAAACAGACUACUGAAGAAAUAAAAACCUAUCACAGAUAACUACACUGAUUAUUACUGACCUUAAAUUUCAAUUUACUUUUCAGAUUUCUGCUGUAAAGAAGGUGCUGUCGGGAAAACAACACGUUCCCCUUAAAAACCUCCAGCUGAAGGAGGAUGGGUUUACCAUGGCAGUGUGCCUCUGGAGGGAGGCAGCUGUUAACAGCGUGAACGUGGGAGACCACAUCAGUCUCUCUCACGUUAAGCAGAAACAGUCCUCAUAUGGAGUACAACUUCAUAGUACAGCAUUUACACAGAUUGAGAGAAAUGUCGAGGACAGUGCUGACAUCAUCAUCAUUGGUGUGGCCACGGCAGAAAUGCCAAACCAGCUGGAGGUGUUGCUGGACAAUGGAAAGAGCCUCUACAUUCAAAGCGAGCUGUGGAGUCCCUUCGAUAAAGAACUGGAGGAGGCAGUAAUCAAAGUUACAGUUAAAAUAAGCGGAAAGCAAAUUGUACAUAUUCAAAAAUAUCAGUGCGAAUAAUUUAAAGAAAAUGUACAGUUCCUUUGUUCACUUUGUUCAAAAAUGUGAGAGAUUGUAUUUUAUAACUUAAAAAGAAUGAUUUUUUUUCCUAUCAGUAUUUAUAAUUUUUAAUGAUAUUUUGUUAAGUUCUGUAUUAUAGUUAACAGUUUUAGUAUUUUCCAGCGUUAAGUAUUUAUAUAUUAAAAAGUCUACAUAAUAAUCUUAGAUUUGUGUUUGUUUUUAAUUUUUAGA
RNAcentral lists this long non-coding RNA (1024 nucleotides) under Oreochromis niloticus (Nile tilapia). RNAcentral describes it as "lncRNA (ENSONIG00000023403.2)". Lineage: Eukaryota; Metazoa; Chordata; Actinopteri; Cichliformes; Cichlidae. The record is from RNAcentral.